Sapajus apella (tufted capuchin) is the source of this 746-nucleotide long non-coding RNA. RefSeq lists it as uncharacterized. The transcript is spliced from 3 exons. The record is from RefSeq and is a predicted model, not a curated record. NCBI's taxonomy places the organism in Eukaryota, Metazoa, Chordata, Mammalia, Primates, Cebidae.
GUGAAGAUAUUGUAAACAUUGUUAAAAUGACAACAAAGUAUUCAGAAUAUUCCAUAAACUUAGUUGAUAAAGCAACAGCAGAGUUUUAGAGGAUUGAGUCUAAUUUUCAAAGAAGUCCUGUGAGUAAAAUGCUAUCAAACAGUAUCGCAUGCUACAGAAAUCUUUGGUGAAUCAAAGACUCAAUCGAUGUAGCAAACUUCAUUGUUGCCUUAAGAAAUUGCCACAGCCACGACUCUGAUCAGUCAGCAGCCAUCAACAUCAAGGCAAGACACUCCACCAGCAAAAGGAUUAUGACUCACUAAAGACUCAGAUAUCGAAUCAAUCUAAUAGUGGUGGGUGGAUACAAGAAAGAUAGAUUGCUCUUAUUUCUAAAACCAAAGAUAUGGGGUAAAUGAACAAAAUCAUGGAUAGAGAGAAGGUGAUUCUAAACACUGCUGCCAGGAUGAUAUUUCUAAAACAGUUAACUGAGAAUACCACUUCCCUGCUUAAAUUCGUUCAACUGUCACCUCCAGCAUAAAAUCUGAAAUCCUUAGUAUGGAACAACUUGCAGUCAAUCCCAUUUAUUGUGGAAUCCUGAACCAUUGGCCAUUCUCUGAAUAUCUCUCAGAUUCUCCCACUUCUAAGUCUUUGUUCCUGCUAAUUUAUUUCGUACUCUGAUCACAUGUUGAAAACCUACUUAUUCUAUAAAUUUUAAUUUAAUAUAUUUCCUCCUCCCACUGGCACUUUUUUUUUUUGAGAUGGAGUUU